This 421-nucleotide ribosomal RNA is filed under the name uncultured bacterium. Its description in RNAcentral is "bacterial SSU rRNA". It matches the Rfam family "Bacterial small subunit ribosomal RNA", at positions 136 to 553 of the family's 1533-position model. The record is from RNAcentral.
GAUGGGGACAACAGACGGAAACGACUGCUAAUACCGAAUACCUCCGCAUGGAGAAAGGUGGCCUUCUUGAAGCUAUCGCCUGAAGAGGGGUUUGCGUCUGAUUAGCUAGUUGGUGAGGUAACGGCCCACCAAGGCGACGAUCAGUAGCCGGUCUGAGAGGAUGAACGGCCACACUGGAACUGAGACACGGACCAGACUCCUACGGGAGGCAGCAGUGGGGAAUCUUCCGCAAUGGACGAAAGUCUGACGGAGCAACGCCGCGUGAACGAUGAACGUCUUCGGAUUGUAAAGUUCUGUGAUCCGGGACGAAGCAUUGAUUGAGAAUAUUGAUUGAUGUUGACGGUACCGGAACAGCAAGCCACUGCUAACUACGUGCCAGCAGCCGCGGUAAUACGUAGGUGGCAAGCGUUGUCCGGAAUUA